Myodes glareolus (Bank vole) is the source of this 393-nucleotide long non-coding RNA. RefSeq lists it as uncharacterized. Lineage: Eukaryota; Metazoa; Chordata; Mammalia; Rodentia; Cricetidae. The record is from RefSeq and is a predicted model, not a curated record.
AUGAAAUAUAAUAUUUCAAGAAUAUACAAACAUGAAGAAAAGAAAGUGGUAGUAUCCCAUGACUAGUGUGUUGGUGGCAUGUCUCUGAAGUACCAUAGCUGGCAGGGAAGCAAACCACAAAGAGCUGCCAUUGUUGUACCAUUAUAAGAGAGUGAGAAAACAAGAAUCUACUUGCAAGCAAAAGAAAUUUGUAGCAGCCUCUCAUCUCUCCAAAACACUUGACUGAGGAGCGACUUGGUAUGUAUGGAGAAUCACUUCUGUGACACACGGGAAAGUUAACAUGGAGCAGGGAUAAUGGAAAUGGAACCCAAGUCCUCUCAUCCACUAGGUGAACUACUGGACUGCACAUUAAUAUUUGACAGAAUACAACUUAAUGCUUCCUUGGUGGUAAUA